Molecule: long non-coding RNA, 221 nt
Filed under: Homo sapiens (human)
Lineage: Eukaryota; Metazoa; Chordata; Mammalia; Primates; Hominidae
Description: long non-coding RNA NONHSAT177522
Source: RNAcentral
GGUAAAGUUUCAUCUAUUCAUUCUGAUCAAUCUGAUGUGUUAAUGGUGGAUGUGGCAACCAGUAUGCCUGUUGUUAUCAAGGAGGUGCCAAGCUCAGAGGCUGCUGAAGAUGUCAUGGUGGCUGCUCCUCUUGUGUGUUCUGGAAAGGUGCUAGAAGUGCAGGUUGUGAACCAAACAUCUGUCCAUGUAGAUUUGGGUUCUCAACCUAAAGAAAAUGAGGC